Long non-coding RNA from Pipra filicauda (Wire-tailed manakin), 345 nucleotides. RefSeq lists it as uncharacterized. The record is from RefSeq and is a predicted model, not a curated record. Lineage: Eukaryota; Metazoa; Chordata; Aves; Passeriformes; Pipridae. The transcript has 2 exons.
CAGUGAUCCUUGGGUGUUUUCCUUCAGCCUUGUCAGCUCAAUCUGAAGAAAUGACAUGCUAGACUGUUGUUUUGGGAGCUAACUAUUUGAAAUGUGAUGCAGAUCUGGCAAAGUUGCAAAAGGUUACACCAACGAAGCCGAGAAGAUGCAAGCUUUAUCACUGGUGGAUAUGGGAGCCUUGCCGUCUGGGGUGGGAGUCAGAAGGCAACAACUGGAGCUGUAGGAUAUUAAAGGACUUGGCAAAGUUAUCAUAGAUUGUGACAUAUUUAUCAGGAGCUUGAGCUUCUCUGAAAAUUCUGACUACACCAACUGUAUCUGUUACUUGAUUAAAAAUACUCAUAAUAA